RNAcentral lists this ribosomal RNA (839 nucleotides) under Candidatus Thalassarchaeaceae archaeon. RNAcentral's name for it is "partial 23S ribosomal RNA". It matches the Rfam family "Archaeal large subunit ribosomal RNA", at positions 2142 to 2987 of the family's 2987-position model. Lineage: Archaea; Methanobacteriati; Thermoplasmatota; Candidatus Poseidoniia; Candidatus Poseidoniales; Candidatus Thalassarchaeaceae. The record is from RNAcentral.
GUAACCUCAACCUGCAAGCGAAGACCCCGUAGAGCUUUACUGCAACCUGGCGUUGUACAGUCGCACAUUACGUGCUGAGUAGACGGGAGACGCUGAUCCUCGGGACGCCAGUCCCGAGAGUAGUCAACCAUAGAGACACCGUCCUUAGUGUGUAACUGUACUAACUCUUCAUGAGAACACCGCUAGGUGGGCAGUUUGGGUGGGGCGCCACGCGCUCGAAAUGAUAACAAGCGUGCCCAAAGGUCAGCUUAGGUGGUUCAGUCUCCACCGCUAAAUGUAAGGGUAAAAGCUGGCUUGACGUGGAUCGGCACAAUAACGAUCGACGAUGCGAAAGCAGGGCCUAACGAACCAAGUACCUCAUUUAUGGGGGCAGUAGAUAACAGAAAAGUUACCUUGGGGAUAAUUGAGUUGUCACCAGCAAGAGCUCACAUCGACCUGGUGGCUUGCUACUUCGAUGUCGUCUCUUCCUAUCCUGGUGCAGCAGCUGGGAAGGGUGGGGUUGUUCGCCCAUUAAAAGGGAUCGUGAGAUGGGUUUAGACCGUCGUGAGACAGGUUUGUUGCUUUGUGGUUGAGGCGUAUUGAUGCCUGAUCGGAAGGGCCCUUUAGUACGAGAGGAACGGAGUCUCGGAGUCACUAGUCUACCAGUUGUCUGCUAAGGCAAUGCUGGGUAGCCACACUCCAAUGGAUAAGAGCUGAAAGCAUCUAAGCUCGAAGUCAACCUGAAGACGAGGUAUCUCAGAGCUCCGAUAAAAGAUCGGUUCGAUAGACUGCGGGUGUAAGCACCAAGGUUCGCCGAGGUGUUCAGCCCAGCAGCACUAAUCGCUCGAGCAUCUUCUUUA